CUAAGAAUAUUCCGCAAUGGACGGAAGUCUGACGGAGCGACGCCGCGUGGAUGACGAAGGCCGAAAGGUUGUAAAGUUCUUUUGCUGGGGAAGAAUAACCGCAGGAGGGAAUGCCUGUGGGAUGACAAGAACCGGCGAAUAAGCCCCGGCCAACUACGUGCCAGCAGCCGCGGUAACACGUAGGGGGCGAGCGUUGUUCGGAAUUACUGGGCGUAAAGGGCAUGUAGGCGGCUUGGAAAGCCUGGCGUGAAAGUCUGCAGCUUAACUGCAGGGGUGCGCUGGGAACUGCUGAGCUUGAGUGACGGAGAGGGAGCUGGAAUUCCUGGUGUAGGGGUGAAAUCUGUAGAUAUCAGGAAGAACACCGAUGGCGAAGGCAAGCUCCCGGCCGAUGACUGACGCUGAGGUGCGAAAGUGUGGGGAUCAAACAGGAUUAGAUACCCUGGUAGUCCACACAGUCAACGAUGUGCACUAGGUGCUGGGGCGGUAGCUUCGGUGCCGGAGCGAACGUGGUAAGUGCACCGCCUGGGGGAGUAUGCUCGCAA
RNAcentral lists this ribosomal RNA (542 nucleotides) under uncultured bacterium. Its description in RNAcentral is "partial 16S ribosomal RNA". It matches the Rfam family "Bacterial small subunit ribosomal RNA", at positions 355 to 891 of the family's 1533-position model. The record is from RNAcentral.